RNAcentral lists this unclassified non-coding RNA (468 nucleotides) under Hevea brasiliensis (rubber tree). The record is from RNAcentral. Lineage: Eukaryota; Viridiplantae; Streptophyta; Magnoliopsida; Malpighiales; Euphorbiaceae.
ACCUGUAUCAUGGUGUCCUGCAGAGAUCGUAUCGGGUAAUGGACAUACUUACUCUGUGAGGUAUGAUUAUUAUACUUGUAUGGAAAGUGAAGCGAGGUCUGAGAGGGUUUCGAGGAGGGAGAUCAGACCAUGCCCCCUUCCUUCAAAGGGUGUGGAGAAUGGGCAAAGUGGUCAAAUUAUCGAGGUGUUUAAUGAUUGUUGUUGGAAAACUUCUAUUAUUGUGAAGGUUUUCAAUAGAGACUAUUAUUUAGUACACCCAACUGGAUGUUCACAGGAGAUUAGAGUUCAUAGAUCGAACACCAGAGUGCGACAAUGCUGGCAAGAUGAAAAAUGGCACUUGAUUGGAAAGGGAUCUGGAACGUGUGCGAAACCUGACCAGCUUCCUGCUCAAAGAUCUUAUAAAAAGGUGAGCAUUGUCUUAAGUGCUAGGAAUGGAUUUCAUGUUAGAGAUGGAGAUUUGGCUGCUCA